RNAcentral lists this ribosomal RNA (233 nucleotides) under Acinetobacter baumannii. RNAcentral's name for it is "partial 23S ribosomal RNA". It matches the Rfam family "Bacterial large subunit ribosomal RNA", at positions 95 to 365 of the family's 2925-position model. Lineage: Bacteria; Pseudomonadati; Pseudomonadota; Gammaproteobacteria; Moraxellales; Moraxellaceae. The record is from RNAcentral.
CCGUUAUAACCGGCGAUGUCCGAAUGGGGAAACCCAGUGCAAUUCGUUGCACUAUCGUUAACUGAAUACAUAGGUUAACGAGGCGAACCGGGGGAACUGAAACAUCUAAGUACCCCGAGGAAAAGAAAUCAACCGAGAUUCCCCCAGUAGCGGCGAGCGAACGGGGAGCAGCCCAGAGUCUGAAUCAGCUUGUGUGUUAGUGGAACGGUCUGGAAAGUCCGACGGUACAGGGU